CGUCAACUACACGUCCCAGCUGACAGCUCUCCCCGGGCAGGCGGCCGCUUCUGUUGAGAGGCUGAGGAGCGACGCCCGCUUCUGUCGCUUGACAUCCGUGGAUGGACACAGCCGAGAUACAGGCUAAUAUACAGUAGGGCUGAAUUCACCACUGAUGUAACUGGACUGAAGCAGGACCAAGUAAACCUAGACCAUCCCUGACAGAUAAGCGACAACCAUCAGCCCCUGACAGUCUAGGAAGAAUUCACUGCCUACCACUCAUGUUCCAAAUGCCUAGAUUACAUACCCCAAGGACAAUUACCAACUAAUUCUAAAAGGAAGCAGAGGAUAACUUUGCCAUCCUUGAGCAACUGAAUGACCUCACUCAACACAAUGUGGACUUUAGCGAAUAGUAAGACUGUGCUGUUAGUGGGAGCCUUGGACCAAGUGAAGAUGGGCUUACUCUGGAAAACACCCACAGCCAGCCUUUCAGGAACAACAAUGAAGAAGCCGGAUGUGGCUGAUGGCCCAUCAGCAAAGACAAUGGUCUGUGGAAUAGCUUAACCUACCUGUGGGCAUUUUGCACAGCCUGUAAGCAAUGGCAGCUAUAACACUGCAAGGACAUGUGACCAGGCCACAUGAUUCUGGACUCCAUUUUGGGAUGUCAGUAUUUUCCAUAAACCAGUCUGGGAACCAAGUUUUGAAACAAAGGGUUCUUGCCAUAUGCUAAAGCUAUAUAAGGCAGAGAGUGACAUCAUCUAUUGUUCUUCACUCCCCACACAAGGAGACUCCUGGAAAUACCUGGGGAACAAAGACUGAACUGGUGGAAGUGUUGGACCCAGGCUAAAGGGAUUUUUAGCCUGUGUAUAAAAGACCUGGGGAUUCUAAGCUGUAAAGCAAGUGCAGCUUGCCCCUUAAAAAUCUGUAGCCUGCCUGUACCAUCAAUUAGGGUGAAAAUCUGCUAAUUCAUAUCCAAUCUAUCUAGUAUAUUAAGCUUAGCUUGUGUUUUUGUUUAUUUACUAGGUAAUCUGCUUUGAUCUGUUUGCUAUCACUUAUAAUCACUUA
Molecule: long non-coding RNA, 1044 nt
Organism: Caretta caretta (loggerhead turtle)
Lineage: Eukaryota; Metazoa; Chordata; Testudines; Cheloniidae
Source: RefSeq, a predicted model, not a curated record